RNAcentral lists this small RNA (28 nucleotides) under Bombyx mori (domestic silkworm). Its description in RNAcentral is "ovarian small RNA-35796". The record is from RNAcentral. Lineage: Eukaryota; Metazoa; Arthropoda; Insecta; Lepidoptera; Bombycidae.
UGUCUAUUUGUUCCGGCCAAACAGGGAU